GACGAACGCUGGCGGCGUGCUUAAUACAUGCAAGUCAACUGAACUUGAGGUAGCAAUAUCACAAGAGAGGUGGCGCACGGGUGAGUAACACGUAGGUAAUCUGCCUUUAGGUCUGACAUAAUUCCGCGAAAGCGGGACUAAUAUCAGAUGAUGCAGCGGCUCGACAUCGAGACAGUUGUUAAACCUUCGGGGCCUAAAGAUGAGCCUGCGUCUGAUUAGGUAGUUGGCGGAGUAAAAGCCCACCAAGCCUGCGAUCAGUAGCUGGUCUGAGAGGAUGAUCAGCCACACUGGAACUGAGACACGGUCCAGACUCCUACGGGAGCAGCAGUAA
Molecule: ribosomal RNA, 331 nt
Filed under: uncultured bacterium
Lineage: Bacteria
Description: bacterial SSU rRNA
Rfam family: Bacterial small subunit ribosomal RNA
Source: RNAcentral